This is a long non-coding RNA of Labeo rohita (rohu), 237 nucleotides long. RefSeq lists it as uncharacterized. The transcript is spliced from 3 exons. NCBI's taxonomy places the organism in Eukaryota, Metazoa, Chordata, Actinopteri, Cypriniformes, Cyprinidae. The record is from RefSeq and is a predicted model, not a curated record.
UUCAACCACAAGGUUAAGGACAGAAAGACAACAAGCUGAUGAGCUGCAAUGUUUAAAUCAGGAUCAAUUAGCCUUCUGUUGAUGAUGCUCCUUUUUGGGAGUGGAAACUUCUUAACAAUGAAGAAAGGGUUUGCUGCUGGCCGUACAAAUGUCACUGAGUCGUGCGCUAUGCCUAAGUCAUGUAAAGUGUACGGCUUCACUGACUGGUAUAAAGCAGGCAGUUACUUUGUGAAAUAC